Long non-coding RNA from Alnus glutinosa, 253 nucleotides. RefSeq lists it as uncharacterized. Lineage: Eukaryota; Viridiplantae; Streptophyta; Magnoliopsida; Fagales; Betulaceae. The record is from RefSeq and is a predicted model, not a curated record. The transcript is spliced from 3 exons.
GCUCUGGCACCUUAUCUUGAGCAGAAAGAAAGAAAGAGAUCUGACCGUCCAAAUUCAAAUUUGAUUUCAGGAACGUUCAAAUUUGAUUUUAGGAACGUGAUCUACGAAGUCCGAUCUACGUUUCUACCGAUUGGUUUGAGGAUUUACACGGUUUAAAGCUUCCUAAACACUUUCCUAGUGUUAGAUUUCAUUUGGGCAAAUUUUGGUGACGCAUUGCAAAGUGGUGCCUAGGAGACCUAGUACUUAAAUCCGU